CUUCGGGGUGACGCGAGUGGAACGAGCGGCGGACGGGUGAGUAACACGUGGGCAACCUGCCUGUAAGACUGGGAUAACUCCGGGAAACCGGGGCUAAUACCGGAUAAUACAUUGCUUCGCAUGAAGCAAUGUUGAAAGAUGGCUUUUAGCUAUCACUUACAGAUGGGCCCGCGGCGCAUUAGCUAGUUGGUAAGGUAAUGGCUUACCAAGGCAACGAUGCGUAGCCGACCUGAGAGGGUGAUCGGCCACACUGGGACUGAGACACGGCCCAAACUCCUACGGGAGGCAGCAGUAGGGAAUCUUCCGCAAUGGACGAAAGUCUGACGGAGCAACGCCGCGUGAACGAAGAAGGUUUUCGGAUCGUAAAGUUCUGUUGUUAGGGAAGAACAAGUACCGUUCGAAUAGGGCGGUACCUUGACGGUACCUAUCGAGGAAGCCCCGGCUAACUACGUGCCAGCAGCCGCGGUAAUACGUAGGGGGCAAGCGUUGUCCGGAAUUAUUGGGCGUAAAGCGCGCGUAGGCGGUUUCUUAAGUCUGAUGUGAAAUCUUGCGGCUCAACCGCAAGCGGCCAUUGGAAACUGAGGAACUUGAGUGCAGAAAAGGAGAGCGGAAUUCCACGUGUAGCGGUGAAAUGCGUAGAUAUGUGGAGGAACACCAGUGGCGAAGGCGGCUCUCUGGUCUGUAACUGACGCUGAGGUGCGAAAGCGUGGGGAGCGAACAGGAUUAGAUACCCUGGUAGUCCACGCCGUAAACGAUGAGUGCUAGGUGUU
RNAcentral lists this ribosomal RNA (770 nucleotides) under Gracilibacillus sp. NH30. Its description in RNAcentral is "bacterial SSU rRNA". It matches the Rfam family "Bacterial small subunit ribosomal RNA", at positions 72 to 824 of the family's 1533-position model. The record is from RNAcentral. Lineage: Bacteria; Bacillati; Bacillota; Bacilli; Caryophanales; Bacillaceae.